Molecule: ribosomal RNA, 253 nt
Filed under: uncultured bacterium
Lineage: Bacteria
Description: partial 16S ribosomal RNA
Rfam family: Bacterial small subunit ribosomal RNA
Source: RNAcentral
UACAGAGGGGGCAAGCGUUAUUCGGAAUUAUUGGGCGUAAAGGGCGCGUAGGCGGCUUUGCAAGUGACGGGUGAAAUCCCUCGGCUUAACCGAGGAACUGCCUGUCAAACUGCAUGGCUUGAGACCGGGAGAGGUGAGUGGAAUUCCCAGUGUAGCGGUGAAAUGCGUAGAUAUGCGGAGGAACACCGGUGGCGAAGGCGGGUCUCUGGGCAUUUCCUGACGCUGAGGCGCGAAAGCGUGGGGAGCAAACGGG